AGGGCCGUAGGCGCCCGGCCCGCCUGGCCCCCUGCCCGCGGCUCCCGCCAGCCUCGCAGCCCGCCCGGCUGAGGAUCCAACGACACGGAGGCAGCACAGGAAGCCGAGCUGUGGGCGGGGGGCCUUUUCCAUGCACGCGGCCCCUCGAACAUGAACGCGAGCCCCGGAGGGCCAGAGACGGACCACAGAUCGGUAUCUCUCCGGGCUAAGCGGCCUCACGCCAGCGAGGUAGGAGUGUUCCAAGGAACGUGGGUCUUUUUCCAAGCAGGAAGGAGUGGUUUCUACGCGUUCGCCCUCCUCCGCAUCUCUCUGAGGCUCCAGGCCUGCUGUGUGCAGAGGGGAGGAGGUGUGAACGUCUACUCCAUCGUCAGAGCAUUUGUGGAGCUGCCGGCAGGAAGAGCAGGUGUUCGAGUUUGCCUCUGAAUCUGCACCGCCGCGUCUGACGCUGGGUCGGUUCUGGGGGUCCCGCUCCCCGUCAACCGUGCAGCGCGAGCCUCUUCCCGGGGAAUCACCGUCGCCAGGCGCGUGGCUGGCCUUCAGGGAGCGACACGAGCUCUGAUUUGCUUUCUCUCGGCAAUGGUGUGCGUGAGCUCCCCUCCACCGGCCUGCUGGCAGCGCAAGCCUGGAGACGAAGUGUUUUGAGAGCAGAGCGGGGAGGGCUGCAUCUGCAGAGGGGGCUCUGGGAGGCAGCACGCACCAGGGGUGGGGGCCAGCGGCCGAUAACUCUUGGACGAGGUCAACAGCAGGAGGCAGGGAUGGGCGGAAGCGGGAGGGCUGGGCCAAGAGAUGUCAGCAGACCUUGGCCCGGGAUUUGCAGUAUUUUUAUUGAGAACCGUCAGGGGAAACCCUUCCAAAGGGUGUGGACAGGGUUGGCGGCGUCUGGCAGCUACUUUGCGGGCAAGAGGUCAGUGGAGGGAGGUCAUGAGGUCUGAAAGGGGUCCCCGCCCGCCCCCGCCCUGUCUUCAUCAGGCCGGAGCCGGGAGGUCAGAGGAUGUCUCAGGGAUGCCCUGGGGAGCUGUCUGCAGUCUUGGCGUGCGUGCAGAUCCCGUCCGGCCACUUACCAACUGGACACGGGGCCCCCGCCACCUUGAGAUUGGCUUUCCCUGUUGCGGGAUCGUGGAAGUAAAGACAGCGGUAACCCCUGCCCUUGGCGACGUGCUGUGUGCCAGGCCCUCCGCACGUCUCACCUCACGUGAUCGCCCCGUCCUGGAGGUGGACUCCGGCUCAUUUCCGGGAGGGCUCAGAUGAGGCCAGGGACGUUCGUUAACUUGCUCAAGCCCAGAAACCGGGAAUCUGGACCAGGUCUGCCUGGCUUCGAGCCGGGGCUCUCUCCGUGGCCCUGCGCGGCUCUAACGUGGGUGGCCGUGCCCAGCUCAGUGCCUCACACGCAGCGGGUGCUCAGGAAACGCUGGCAGAAACCUUUCGCCCUGCCCUCCUUGAAGCCUCCCUUUCCUCCUCCCUCUGGGCGCACGCAGCUGUGAACACCUUCGCUGCGGCCUCACCUGUCUCCUGUGCAGGGCGGCCCUGCUCCAGGGAAGUGGCUUCUACCCCGUGGCUGCGUUUCACAGCCCCCCCCAGGGUAGCUGACGUGGUGAAAGAUGGGGGCGCAGGGAGGGGGGAAAGGGAGCUAGCGCUCAGCGGCCAGAAUGUCAGUCGUGCAAGACGAGAAAGUUCGUUGAGAUCUCUCACGCCACACUGUGCGUGUGGUUAAUCCUACUGUCCCACAAACUUAAGUGCGGUUGCCAUGGUGACUUUGAUGCCGUGUAUUUUUUUUUUCUCCCAUAAUAAAAACAAAACCCCAAAGCUGGAUGUGCGAUCUCUAUCGAGAGGGCUCCCAGGGCCAAGGGGAGGGGAGGGCUGCAGGCUCUGGGUGGAGCCUUGGGCCCUGCGUGAGCCUGUGGAAUGGUGCCCCGCCAGGGACAUCGACUGUGGAUGCGGCUUGAGCGAUAAGAGGCCUCAGGUGCUGCUGUGUCAGGCCACUGAGACUCUGGCUUGAUCCGUGAUGGUAGCUCGUGUCUCCUCAACGGGUCAAGGGGGCUUCAAGAGGAAGGCCGGAGACCCCUUUCCCUCUGGAGUUCACAAGCGUCCGAGGGGACAGCGAACACGAGAGGCUGUGACCCAAAGUGGGUGAAAGAAAGGUCCUGAGUGGCUGCGACACAGGGAAGGAACGAUGAUGAGCCCCCGGAUGCUGAACAACCCCUCAGACCGCACGAACUGUCUCAAACUGAGCCCGGCUCCUUCCCCAGACCCGUGCCCUCUGACUGGGGUAACCCCUCUGUGCACCGAAACCGGCGUUGCCCCAGCCCCUCCAUCGUCCCCACACCCACAUUCCAUCAGGAUGCUGAUGCCAACCUGGAAGGUUCUCCGUUCCGUCCGCUCUCGCCCGCAGCAGCCCCCCGCCGGGCUGUGCAAACCUCUGAACCGGUCAGCCGGGUCAUUCUCUCCUUCCUCCACACUGUCCCCAGGGGGAUGCUGGGGAAACCCGUGUGCAUGCCUGGCCGUCUCACUGGUGCUUAGAUAACUUCACUGACCCCUUAAUGUGUACAAGAUGAAUUUCCGUGUUCAGGGGGAGGGCGUCUGGAUCCUCCUGUUCCCACGUUAUUCACAAAACUUUUCCCCUCUGUGGUCCCCGGGGCCCACGCGCAGCUUGGGGUAUUUCCACGAAUCGCUCUCUCCUCCAGGUGGAAUGCCUCCGCCUCCCCCCCAACCCCCGUCGUCAACGAGGCCGGGCGAUGGGUGGGGUCGCCAACCCGGAGUCGACGGCAGAUCUGCAUGGGAGUGACAUCGCGGCACGCCCUUCGGUGCGGGGCCUGGCGGGUGUGUACGUGUGCGUGAUGUGUGCGCCUCUGCCUUUCCAGCCUCCUCCGGGCUGCAGCCCGAGGCAAGUGCACCCUGUCUAAUACCGCCAGCUGGGCCCGCACCCCGGCUGGGCCCCACUGCAGGACAUCUAGUCACGCGAGCCAGCGCCACCGCAGCUCAGAGACGUGGAUGCUUCCACCCCGUGAAAGAUCGGGACACCAAGGGUUAGCAAGGCGCCUCACAGGGGUUCGCGGCCGGAACUAAACUUGGGCAUCUGACUCUCAAACUGUGUCCCCUUCUGUUACACUUUGUGUCCCUGGGGAGUCACAGAUGCCGUCUCUCCUGCCUUUUCCCCAGAUGCUCCUCGGAGGCCCUUAUGCCAUGUGGGCAGCCAACAUGUGCUAGAGGCUUCCUCUGUGCCCGAAUGGGGUAGACUACGAAAGUGACCACGGAUGCUUCCCCUCCCCCAUUCACACCUCCUUGACCUGUCACUUGGGGAGCCCUCUCAUCCUACCUCUGGGCGUGGCCAUAUGACUUGCUUUGGCGGAGGGAUGUUAACAGACGUGUCAUAAGUGGAGGCUUGAGAAGCAUGCACAGUGGGACUGGUCCUCUCUUGCUGCUCUUGGAACUCUGCUCCCUUGUGAAGAAGCCCGGGCCAGCCUUCUGGAACAUGAGAGACCCAUGGCCCAAUUACACCUGUUCCUCAUUUGACAGCUUGCCAACUGCCAGACAUACAAGUGAGGCAUCCCGGACCAUCCAGCCACCGGCCGCCCACCAGCUGACCAUGGACACAGGACAGAGCCCAGGCACGAUCAGCAGAAUCAGCUCAAACAUGAGAACUGCCCAGCUGACCCACCAAAUCAUGAGCUAAGUAAACACGUGUUGUUUUAACCACUACACCUUAGGGUGGUUUGUUAUGCAGCAAAAGCUAACUGAUGUAAGACAUUGUAUUUUAGUUAUUAUUGUUGUGUAACAAACUUAACUUAGACCCCCAAACUUAAUUGCCUGAAACGACCAUUGUAUCAUGCUCAUGAUAUGAGUCAGAGAUUUGGAAAGGGUACAGUGUGAAUCACGUCUUGGCUCUGUGCUGUCGGGAGCCUCAGCUGGGACGACUCAAGGGCUGAUGACUUGGGGUAUUGAUGGCUGGGGGCUGGAAUAAUCUGGAGGUGUCUUUGCUCACUCCUGGGAGUUGAGAUUGGUAGCUGGCAUCUCAGUAGGAGCUGUCUGUGGGAGCAGCUACACGUGGCUUCUCCAUGUGGCCUGAGUUUCCGAAAGCCAUGGCUGGUUUCCAGGGAGCCGAACUUUAAUGGCGGCCCAGAGCUCCAAAGGCAAGGCCACCUGCUAAUAAGGAGGAGGCUCAGCGCCAUUCGUGACCUUGCCAUGGAAUACUACUGGGCAAUGAGAAAGAAUGAAAUCUGGCCUUUUGUAGCAACGUGGACGGAACUGGAGAGUGUUAUGCUAAGUGAAAUAAGUCAUACAGAGAAAGACAGAUACCAUAUGUUUUCGCUCUUAUGCGGAUCCUGAGAAACUUAACAGAAGACCAUGGGGGAGGGGAAGAAAAAAAAAAGGUUAGAGAGGGAGGGAGCCAAACCAUAAGAGACUCUUAAAAACUGAGAAUAAACUGAGGGUUGAUGGGGGGUGGGUGAUGGGCAUUGAGGAGGGCACCUGUUGGGAUGAGCCCUGGGUGUUGUAUGGAAACCAAUUUGACAGUAAAUUUCACACUAAAAAAAAAAAAUUAAAAUUAAAAAUUAAAAAAUAACUUUUUAAAUAAUAAUAAUAAUAAAAAAAGGAUGUCACACGGCAUCACUUCUGCUGCCUCCCGUUGGACACAGGCCAGUCGUCAGGUCUCUGCACCCCCACUGCCUCCUAAUCAGGGGAAGAGAAUUCGGCUCCUCCUUGAUUGGGGAGCAGCAAGGUUCCAGAUGAGCAUUCGGGGCGGGAAAUAUAUUGCGGUCACUUUUGGAAAAUACAGUCUGCCGCCCAUUAUCUCACCCAGUAUCUGCAAUAACCCAGAGAGAAAGGGAGGCACCGUUGUUCUCCCCACUUCUUAUGAGAAGCAGAGGCUCGGACAGAGGGUCACGUGCUCAGGGCCGGAUGUCAGUAGCUGUCAGACCUGAGACUAACCUCGCCACCUUUCCUGGGCUGCCUGUUGGUCCUUGGAUCCAUGUCUUGGUGUCCCUUCUCCUUCUACCCUUUGAGCUUCAUGCUUUGUCUCUGUCUUGGGUGGGAUGCCUUCUAAUAAGCAGCUGCAUUUCUCACUGUCUCUCUUGACCGUGUUGGGGGUCCCCGCAGGCUCCCCAAUCCCAUCCCUAGAGGCCAGGGGCCUGGUUGUGGUGGGCAGAGGGAGGAACUCUAACAUAAACAUGCUUGACCGAUCACCACUCUCCCUCCUUCUGCAAAAUAGAUACAGUUUGGAGGUCCCCAGGAGGCAACUUGAAUUUAAAUCCUAAGAGGAUGGAAACUGGGGUUACGUCUCUGGACUUUGGAAGAUUUACUUUUUAUGUUACAAAAACUACCACUACUGAGUAUUUGCGGUCCUGUUUCCUACCCAGACCCUCCCGCCAGCCCACACAAAUCUCCAGCUUUGCCUACCGACAUUCCCCUCCCUACUUCUUUUUUUGUUUUUUAAUAUUUGUUUAUUUUUUUGAGAAAGAGAGUGUGAGUGGGGGAGGGGCAGGGAGAGAGGGGGACAGAGGGUCUGAAGCCAGCUCCAUGUUGACAGCAGCGAGCCAAUAUGGGGCUCGAACUCGUGGACUGUGAGAUCACAACCUGAGCUGAAGUCGGAUGCUCAACCAAUGGAGCCACCCAGGCAUCCCGACAUUCUGCUCCCUUCUUAAGGGGAGAUGGGAGGACCCGUAUGGAUAGCAGUGCCCUGUGGGCUUUAAUAACAUUUAUUGAUGUAUAAAAUAUAUUUAGGAUAUGUGUGGAUGGACAAAAUGUCCAUUAAUGGGAGAAUGGGAUAGGGCUGUCAGGUCAAAUGCAGGAUUUUCUGUUAAACUUGAAUUUCUGCAAAACAAUAAGCCCUGUGGCUAGAAGCAGGUCUCCCACUUAUAAAAGGGCACAUAUGGUCAAUGUACAGUUUGAUGAAUUUUCACAGAGGAACUCGUCCUGUGUCACCAGCAGCCAUAUCAAGAAACAGAACUUUCCAGGCUCCCAAAAUGUCCCUCGCGUCCCCAUGCAGGAACGACCCAUCCCCUCACUAUCCCGGCCUUUAACAACAUAAAUGAGUUCUGGCUGGUUUUGAAUGUCAUAUAAAUGGAACCACUCUGUCUGUAUUCUCUUGUGUCUUGUUUCUUUCCCGGAUCAUCACGUCUGAGAGAUCUAUCCCUGUCAUGCAUGGCAGCAGUUCAUUUGAGGUAAUAAUUACUGUAUGAGCCACGCUUGCACUGAACAAUUAUUUGUUGUUUCUCUGAAAUUCACAUUGAACUGGGUGUCCUGUAAUUUACACGGCAACCCCGUUGGGUUCUUCUGUUAAAUGGACACUUUGUGGUCUUCUGUUUGGGGCUCUGAGGAGCAGAGCUGCGGGGAAUAUCCCAAUACUUGUCUUUUGGUGAACAUAUGGACUCAUUUCCUUUGGGUGUUUACCUAGAAGUGAAAUUUCUGGUCGUAGGGAAUGUGUAUGUUCGGGGCAGUGCAUCCUGUCAAGAGGCGUUCCAAAUGGUACCAUUUUACACUCUAACCAGCAGCGUGUGAAAGUUCCAGUGGCUCUAUAUCCUCGCCAAUACCUGGCAUUUUCUGCCCUUUUCUUUGCAGUCAUUCUAGUGGGUUUGAUCUGGUUUGAUCUCAUUGUGGUUUUAAUUUGCAUAUCCCUGUGGAUCACGAAGCCGGGCACUUUUUCGCAGGCCUCGUGCCCCUGUGGGUUUCCUCCUUCAUGAAUCGCCUGUUCUAGCAUGUUGCCCUUUGUUCUGCUGAGACGUCUUUCUUUUCCCUAUUGCUCUGUAGGCGUUUCUUAUAUGGUUGGCAUACUAGUUAUUUUUCAGAAGUACGUCAACUAUCUUCUCCUGGGGAGUUUUGGGGAACGGGUGAGAGAGGAUUCCUGGCUUGUUGUGGGUCGUGCAGUUGACUUGGAAGAGUCAAGAAGGAAGAGGAGUUUAACGAGAAUUGCCGUGGAUAAUGGCUCUUCUCCAAUGGCCUUUCAAGGGCACAGGUGAAGAACAGACUGUUUCUUUGAGCGCCUCACUCAUUCUGAGACUGGGCCACAUGGGGCCCUGAGCAAUAUUCAGAUCUUGACAUGAGGGCACAGAAAGAUUUCCAUUGUAUUGAGCUGAUAGUGUGUCUUGGGACAUUUAAUCUAGGAAGGUUGGAAACACUUCCAAGAAAUUCGUAUAUGUCCUUGGCAUGAACUCUGGUGCCUGUUUCCACCCCCUGAGGGGAGAGGCCAUCCCUAAGAGAAUGGGGAUUAUUAUUUGUCACAGAGGGAAAAACCCUCCUCCAGAACACACACUUGAGAAGAAGAAAAUAUGGAGUAUUUGAACACUAGUGGCAUCUGAAAGGUACACUUAAUUCAUAAAUCAAGGCUGCACAGCAGAUAUUUAUGGCAAUUCUUGCUAGAGGAAAUAUUAAAAUUUGUAAGAAUUGUAAAUGCUGUAACCCAAAAUGCUAUAGUCACCGGUCAUAAUUGAUGACUUCCUCUUGAAUGUAUUGAAUAAAUUAAUUUCAUUGCUAUA
Molecule: long non-coding RNA, 7466 nt
Organism: Acinonyx jubatus (cheetah)
Lineage: Eukaryota; Metazoa; Chordata; Mammalia; Carnivora; Felidae
Exons: 2
Source: RefSeq, a predicted model, not a curated record